AAACGACGUGUAAACAUUAUAAAAUGGUUUAUUAUGUUUCAAAAAUAACGUUUUGUUCUGUUUUACCCGGAAGCAAAAGCUUUCAUACGUAGACCAAUGUUUUUAGGUAUCGAUUGGUAGAUGUGGUUGCUUGUUUAAGGAUUUUGUGGAUUUCAUUUUCAGCAAUUGUUUGUCAUCUGAGUUUGCAAUCAUGGGGAAGUCAUUUGUUAAUUUUAUGUGUUUACCGAACAAAUGAGUAUAUCUACUUUAUCAUUGACUAUGUAGACGUUAUAUUUUAUAUUAAAAUUAAUUCAAACGUGUAUUUCGCAGAGAUGCGUGUUUGUUCCUUAUUGUGUCAACACAAGAGUGCCUAAAUUGUAGCUUUCAUUUUUUUUUUUUACUUUACCAAAAUGUGCGUUAAAUGAUGUAAUAUAAAUAUAACUCUUAUAUCGAAACAUGCAGGCCUGCACAUAGUGUGAGGAUCAGUGUUUACAUCACACACUGUAUAUGGUAUAGCCUGUUUGUUUGUUUCAACGGGAGCAAUGUUUGUUAUGACAACUGGACAUCCAAAUGAACCCAUAGGAAAAUAUCUCGUCACUCAGCUUCUAAUAAUGAGUACAUAAUACCAAAUAAAGAACUGUUUUCCUGAACAAUAGUGUCUGGUUCCGAUAGAAAUAGUCUCCCGUGCCAUCAGUAAACAUAUUUAGUAUUUGAGCGCAUAGACUCGUCGAUAAGACAAUAGAAUUAUGUGAGGGCACUUAGUCAAAUAUUUACAAUGACUGCACCUUGAUUUGUGAAUUUGAUAUUCAAAUGAUUCCCUGAUCUAAAUAUAUACCGACAAUUUGAAGACAGCGGUUUUACCUAUCCCAUGCCCUUAUGUUCUGUUUGUUGAAUGACAGCACCACCUGCUGUUUAUAUUUUGCAUUGCAUCGCAGUCUAUAAAUUUGGCUAACAAUUGAUACAUUGAAUUGCACAUGAAAAACCUUAAAUCCUCCGCUGAAAUCCAGGGCCGUGUUGGGUUGAUCAUGUCAUUUUAGAAACUGGAAUUUUCAUGGCAGUACCUGUAGAUUUCCAACAAAGUUUUGUCCUGUAAACAAAUAAAAAACAAUACAUGGUACCGUAGAUAGGUUUUGUUGUAUUUUAAUUUGAGGCCCUUUUUCAGCCCUGUUCUGGCUUUUAGAUUCCUCCUACUGCUUCCCAUGGCUUGAACCACUAGCGCUAAAAUUAUUAUUGUAAAGAGAUAUUUAUUUUGCAGGUAUUGAUCGCAGAGCAAAAAUUAACAUCUGACAAGAAGAAACAUGAAGAUUUAAUGCAACAGUACCUUUAAGAGCAGGACACGUACAAUAACAGAUAUGCAAAGGAUGACAUGAACAUCUGAGAUCAACCAUUUGGUAUUCAGGUGCGGAAUGUGCGGUGUAUUAAAUCUCACACAUGAUGACAUGUGAACACAGACAGAGAGUGUCCGCUGUUUGGUUUAUCAGGAAUCAAUGCCAGCUCAGUGGCAGAUGAUGAUGCAGGUCCGUCAGUGCACCCCUCAGAGUUAAUGGUGGAGAUGAGAAACAGUGGGUUUGCACUGAAACAAAGUGUACUGGGGAGAAAUGUGACUCUUUGUGAUCCAUCACAGAGAGAUCAAGAGGUGUAUUCAGGGGCAAAUGCUUCCCGUCUUUGACUGCACUUGUAAUGAUGACGACAAAUGCUUGUUGCAGUGAAAAGGACCCAUUGUCUUAAUCUGAUCUAUCAUGCUAUCUUAUUUAAAAUGAAAAAAGAAGGCAAUGCUGACUCACAACACAAA
Long non-coding RNA from Polyodon spathula (Mississippi paddlefish), 1771 nucleotides. RefSeq lists it as uncharacterized. The transcript is spliced from 5 exons. Lineage: Eukaryota; Metazoa; Chordata; Actinopteri; Acipenseriformes; Polyodontidae. The record is from RefSeq and is a predicted model, not a curated record.